CAGAAUAAACUAGAUCAGAGAAGUCUCUGUGGGGUGAGACCGUAAAACCCGUGAACUCAUGCACACGCCUGCGUAUCUCCAGGGGAGUCAGCUGGGCUGAUUUAAAGCGAAGACCACGACUUUGACCGUCAGCUAACGUCUCAUCUCUUCAAUAGAAAUUCAGUUUAUUCUAUCGAGUGCCAUAUGGAGCUCAGCCUCUAUUGGUCUGACCCGGUGAAGGAUGGAUAGAUAUGGAUUUGCACAGAUUGAUUUGUACAGUUGUGGUGUCUGCCCAUUGGCACGAAACGUUUUCAUUCGUCAGAUUUAAGCACAUAUGUUACAUAAAGUGACUAGAACUUGUGAGAUCAUUAGAGCCUGUGGUCUCAGACAUGAUCUGUUAGCACUUUGAACAUUUAUUUAUAUAAUAUAUAUAUUGUAGCUUAAUGUCUGGAUCCUUUGUUGGCAAAAAAUAAGUAAAAACUGUAUUGUAACUGGAAGACUGUAAAAAUGGAACUACUUCUUAACUAAUUAAUAAAUGUUUCUGCAAUUGAUUUUUUAUUUAUUGAAGUCCCAAUUUUUGUACAUUGCUGUGUAAUAAAAAAAAUUCAAAUUUAUCAGGUUAACAAAUUCAGCAGCAUGGACUUUAUUACAGGGGGAAAUGCUUUUCAAACUACCAUGGACCACACAAAACGACUUGGCGGGCCACAUCCGGUCCACGGGCCUUGAGUUUGACUCUGUGUCUAGACAAUGAGUGAGAAAUGAAUUAAAAAUGAGUGUUCAGCCAGAACUCCUCGGAGAAGACUCAGAGGAGGACAUAAAGUCCCAUCUCUUCCUGUUUCAUCAGCACAUCUAUCCCCUGUUCUGUUUCUGUUUAAUCCUCUGUUGAUGAAACACUGUCCUGGUGAUGACCUCUUUAUCAGGCCCUGCCCUCUACCUUCUUAAAAAAUGUAGGAUGAGGCCCCUGGGGUUUCUGGUUAUGCAGUCAUCCCCGAAAACUUAAAACUUCAAAUGAAAAAUGAUCUGUCUUAGUGCGAGUGUGCAGUGACAACACCUGAACUGGUUUAACAAGGUGUGUGUUUAGUCUCGGUGUAGUUAUGGGUCUUGUUGACAAAAGCUGUAAUACAUACAGUAUUGUGUAAUGAGUCAGAAUAACGCUGGAAGAUAUUGACAGUAUCGGAUGAUUCAAUAUUCUAAAAAAAUGUUGGCCUAACCUGCGUCAGAAGGUAACUUAGCAUAGCGUAGCUUGAGGCUAAAUGUCCUUAGAAAUCUACACAGUGGGUUUGCUCUGGUAAACUCUUACAAAGUAGAAGGUGGACAUGGAAAGCUAGCCUUUUGUGGCACACACUGCUAGCAUGUUUUAAUAGUGCAGGUUAUUUAAGUUUUGUUUUUUUUAAAGAGAAAAACAAAUAAAGAUAAGUAAAGAAAGAAUGUCUGGUGUGGCUAAUGGCUAAUGUAAAGCAAACGUAACUACAGUUACCAGCAAAAGUCAAGUGAAAAAUAAGCUAGCCAACAAUAAUGCAAAGAAUGUAUCUCAUCUCUAAAUUUCGUAUUAGCUUAUUCCAAAGAUAAAUAUGAUAAUUAGAAACCUCAAAAUUAAAAAAAAGAAAUGCUGAUUAAUCAAAGUAUUAGGAAUCAUAAAUAUGACUAUGAUUCUUACAUUGCUGCAACAUAAACUAACUGUAGGUAGAUGUAUGCGUUUCACAUCUUGUUUUAUUUAUGACAAAUCCAAAUGAUGAAAUUAUUAAUUAGGAAAAAUGUAAAAAAAAGAAGAAAAUAGAACCCUGAAUUGUCUGUUAUUUUUUUAAGAAAUAAAUUCAAACUAUUAUAUUAAAGUUAGACCAGAAAUCCACUAUGACCAGCCCUCUUUUUUAAAAAGUGAAUCUGCCCUGAACUUCAGACUAUCGUAGUGAGCUCUGUCUCACUAAAUCAACAGACGACUGGAGUGAGCAUGUGCAGGGUCCAAUGACCCCAGAUUAGAAACCGUGACCUUUAACCAACAAUCAACUGUCACGACUCUAAUAUGUAAUGACUGACAGGAAGCCACCUGCCAGGCCAGGGCACACACUGUAGUGAGGCUAGGACAGAGGAGACAUCAGUCAAGGUCCCCCGCAGAGAAGAAGGCGUGGGUUUACAGUCUGCUAACACCCAUUGUAUUCUGGUUCUUUACGGCCCUAAAUGAAGCAGUGUCACACUGGUGGCUGACAUGGAGAUGUCUGCAGGCAGAUACAAACACGCCACUGAGUAGCCACUGGCACCAGUUUAAAAAAGAAUGUUUGUUCCCAUGGGAGAUAAAUGUCAAAAAUGGUUCCAGCUGAUGGUAACUGUACAGGUUUAAGCUGUGGUGUUGAAUCUAAAAGCAAAAAACUAACUUACUAACUUUAAGCUACCUUAUGUUUUAUAAAACAUAUUCUAUAUUUUGGCUUGUUCUGAUUUUUUCUCUCCAAUGUUUUUUUUUUUUUUUUUUGCUCCUCCUGCCUAAGCAACAUUUGUUUUAAUAUUGUUCUGCUACGUACGGUUUAAAAAAAGCAUGUUGCUGACUAAUGUAAAAUGCUUAUUAAAUUAAAUAAUUACAUUUCUAAUGGUAAUGUGUUCUAAUGGUAACCAUAUGUCUUUUAUGUAAUCAAAUCACUUUACAUUAUUAUUAUUAUUAUUAUCAAAUAUGAUGCAGUGAAAAAAAAAAACGAUUGGGCAAAGCUGGAUUUAUUCCAUGCUGUCCUUCCUACAAACACACUGCCGACGACCUCCUCUGCCCUUGUAAAGCUCAUUAAGUUGCGGGCAAAUCAAAACGAAGUGAAAGUCUCAUCUGCUGUGACAGAUUACAACAGGCGCAGAGGCAGAAACGUGAUGCCACGUCUCUUCUUUGUUGAUUAAACAGGCCUGGUGACCAAUCCUCUUUGUUUUGAGUCAUGCCUCACUGCUACUUUUAUUCCGUUUGAAUCAAUAUGACCACCAUGGAGCUCUGAAACUGGAACAAGGGACUCCAGCUCCUGACCCUGACUGUGGAUGUGGUGUCAUGAUAGAGGAGGGGGGGAGGGGGGGGAGCAGGAGGAGGAGGGCAGCUUAGCGUCCAGUGACAUCAGAAAAAUCAGCCUCAGAUUGUGUCCGGCUCUCAGCUCCCUCACCCACCGCUGCUAAUCCUCUCCCCUCAUCACAGAUAUGGCUCCUGCUGCUGUCGCCGCUGUGACCGGGGUUAAGAUUGGUGACAGUUUCAGUGGGAAAAAAUGUUCAUAAGGAGAAGAAUAAAGGGACAAAGGAGUGGGUGCACUGAACGCAGCUGACCUUACAUCACUCUACCAGCCUGGAAAACUUCAAUUGUUAAAACGAAACAUCUGUAAUGGAACAUAUGGAACAAACUGAAAACUAAACUAUCAUGCUGUUUGAGUGCUUUUUAAGUUUAUCACAACUUUCAGUAAUUUAUAAACAACUCUCUUGAGAUCAUGGCUCAUCUCGACUUUUUAAAAAAUAUACAUUUAAAAAUAUUAUGCUGAGAAGUGAAAUGUUUGUGAAUUUUUUUUGCAAUAUCCACAAAAUAUUCAAGAAUAUUUGGGAGCAGAAUGCAAUUCAAUAAAUGGCAAGAAAAUUAUACUACAACAAAAGAACAUUAUACACACAUUUAUCUCUUACAUAGUCUGCGUAGUGGCCAACCGGGUAUUACACUGUAGAUGACAAGAAGAAUUUGUGAUGGAAUGUUAAUGGCUGUAUUGCCAUCAGGUCGCAUAGCCCGCUUGGGGUAUUCCCGAGGUGCAGAAAGGGCAUUUCAGUGCAUUAUCAGCUCACUGUGUACACUGUCAUCCGGCCACAAAUUACCCCACCCAGCCUCAAUAUUUAUAUAUCUCUUCCAACUGUUGAUACAUGAAACAUGUCCUCAAACAAAUGUGCCAACUUAUUUUGCUUUCAGCUGAACAAAAAAAAGGUCAAAACAAGUGUAAAUACAUAUAAAAGACAUUUAUUUAAACUAGCCUUAGAGACAACAGGAAACCUUUUGUUGUUAAUAGUAAAAUAAAAAAAAUAAAAAACGUUUUAUGUCGCUAAAGGUUAGCCAAACUUAAACAGACACAAUAGUCAAUAGUUAGUCAAAUGUAGCUCCAAAGCUCUAAAUGUUCCAAAGUUCCCAUUAAGAAACUAAGAAAGAGCAUAGCUAGCCAAACGAUAGCUAAGAUGGAACAUCAGGAUUGGCCUAAUCCAAAAUGUAAAUAAAAUUCAAGAUGUUUGCUAAGGAUGAUGCUGCCGGCCACGUAAAGACUGUACAUGUACUGUCACCUGAGCCACACUUUGAGUAUCCACAUGCAAACUCCAAGAGACAAAGACUACUUGGUUCCUCUGUGGUUUUCAUCAUUUUAAGACCAUUAGUUUUGGCCACUACAAACAUAAACAAGGUGAGGCAGGCAGACAGGUAAAAAAAAACACAUUUUCAUGGACCUGACGGAUGGCGUCACUGGGCAGAGUGAGUCAGACUGCUGACGGUGUCCACACACAGUGAAAAUAUCACUGGACCCUCUUCGCCCAGGCCCUGUGUGCUCGGUAGCAGCCGACAUGAUGUUCUUUUUGGGAGUGCAUGUUGACAUCCCCCAGCCUGCUAAUGUUUACCCACUAACACACACACACUCUGCAUCAAAGGUCGCUGUUUGAGGUCUAACACAGACCCGGACUGGACAGGGCGGGGACAGUUGGUAGGGCAGGGAUUAAUCGUGCACUCUAUAACCCUGACGGAGAUUAACGUAUACUUUAUCAACCAUUGGUACGCGUCCGACUGCAAUCCUUUCACAACGAUUUGAUAUUCUCAUGGACGUCCCCGUUCCAGUGGAUAUUCAUGGUCCACGUACACGCGAUCUCAGUCGACCUCGGAGACCAGGCAGAUUUCAAUGGGAGCCGGCCGGUACACGGGCCAAGAUAUCAACAGGCUGUGGUUCCAGCUGCAGCUGCAGGAGAUCAGUCUGCUUUACAGACAAGGAUACGGUGCUUCUACAAAGCUCCUCACCAUCUCCACCUGCCGAGGGUCCAGGUUGGGGGGUGCAGAAGACGGCACAGCGAAGUGAAUCUUCUUCCUCUCCUUGGGCUCCCCCUCCACCUCCGAUGACAUAAAUGGCUCCAUG
Cynoglossus semilaevis (tongue sole) is the source of this 5072-nucleotide long non-coding RNA. RefSeq lists it as uncharacterized. Lineage: Eukaryota; Metazoa; Chordata; Actinopteri; Pleuronectiformes; Cynoglossidae. The transcript has 3 exons. The record is from RefSeq and is a predicted model, not a curated record.